UUAAAGUAAGUUAAAUCUCAAUCCAAGUCCCUUUGAGUCCUGUGUCUGUUGUUAGGUUUGGGUGGCCAGUUCUCUUUCUGAAACCUGCAUGUAGGAAGCAGAGCACAACACAAAAAUCCGUGCUUUCACCAGGAAGGGUUCUAGUUCUGCAUUUGACUUGGUUAUAACUCAGGGGCAUUCUCAAUUUAAUGGAGGGGCCUCUGAUACUGUUGCAUGAUUUUGAGUGGUUCAGUGAGAGACCUGACUGAUUUAGAGAGAAUAAAGUUUAAGUAGUAAAAUAAACUAUUUUUGUGAGCAAUUUGGUGAUAGCACAGUAAUGCGAGAGGGACCUUGAAUCUAUAUACUUGGAAAACUGAAUGUAUUAUACUAGAAUGUAUAUAUAUGAAAAAAAAUCAAAUUAGUAUUUGUUUUGUAUCUACUUGGAAAACGGGGGCUGUGAAAGGGAAACAGGAGAGGCUGUUGCAGUUGGUACUGCUGGAUCAGAGAGCCUGCUUCUGUGAAGGGGAAAAGAAAACCUGUCUGUGAAAAUGGGGAACAUUAACCCAGCAAUUUUUCUUUCUUUUAACAAUUUUUUUUCUUUUAACAAUUUUUUUCCCCUUGCACGCCUCUUUCUCCUGCCCCCUUGCUCCUUUCCUUAAACAAAAAGCAGAAUUAUUUAAAUGGCCACAAAGGUCUCUAGAAGUUCAUAGUUAUAGACUGGGCAUUAGGUAGUUUCACUUCUAAGAAUCUUAACUUGUAGCUAAAAAGACUGUAUGUAAGGAUUUUAAGAGUAGGGCUUUGGAGUUAAGUAUGCAUCAGUUCCCAAGAGCACUUAGUACUUCCCCAGUUUACUUAACUUAAGGGUAUCUGCAUAUACUUGAGUCAUAGUCUGGCUAGUCAGUUUCUCCCUUGAUAUCCAUAUCACUUGGUUAACACAAGUUAGCUGUGAUGCCCUGAAUUUAACUUUAAUUGAAUUGUUUUGUGAUCUUAGGCUCCUUAGAAGCAUUGCCUCUAGAGGGAGGUUGAAUUCUUUUAAGAAUGACAUACUAGUGUUUUCUCCAAAGCUCUUUGAGUAAUGUUAUCCAGAAGAGAAAUGGGUCCAGUUUUUAGGCGUGUUUUGCCAAAAUAUGUUCUUUACAUAAACAUGGUGGUUAGGGUAAGGGUCCUACCUAUUGCUUCUAAAUAGAAGUCAGUG
This 1174-nucleotide long non-coding RNA is filed under the name Mus musculus (house mouse). RNAcentral describes it as "long non-coding RNA chr9:58620035-58621209". The record is from RNAcentral. Lineage: Eukaryota; Metazoa; Chordata; Mammalia; Rodentia; Muridae.